This 585-nucleotide ribosomal RNA is filed under the name Peniophora sp. MG15. Its description in RNAcentral is "eukaryotic LSU rRNA". The stretch from base 189 to 342 matches the Rfam family "5.8S ribosomal RNA". Lineage: Eukaryota; Fungi; Basidiomycota; Agaricomycetes; Russulales; Peniophoraceae. The record is from RNAcentral.
GGAAUGCCUGUCCGGUGCUGAAGCUGCCCAGCGAUGGGAUGUGCUCGUCCGGGCCGGUGUCCCUUCACUAUUCCACCCCACUGUGAACCGAGCGUGUGAGCGGAAGAGAGAUCGGAAGCUCGCACGCACACUUUAACAUACCCCUAAUGAAGUAUCAGAAUGUACCUUGCGUUAACUCGCACAAAUACAACUUUCAACAACGGAUCUCUUGGCUCUCGCAUCGAUGAAGAACGCAGCGAAAUGCGAUAAGUAAUGUGAAUUGCAGAAUUCAGUGAAUCAUCGAAUCUUUGAACGCACCUUGCGCCCCUUGGCAUUCCGAGGGGCACGCCUGUUCGAGUGUCGUGAACUCCUCCACCCUCUACCUUUUCCGAAAGGCAUUGGGCUGGGAUUUGGGAGCUUGCGGGUCCCUGGCCGAUCCGCUCUCCUUGAAUGCAUUAGCGAAGCCCUUGCGGCCUUGGUGUGAUAGACAUCUACUCCUUGGCUUAGCAGACCUUUGGGGCGAUCGCUUCUAACCGUCCCACGUGGACAAUCACUAUCAACUUGACCUCGAAUCAGGCGGGACUACCCGCUGAACUUAAGCAUAUC